RNAcentral lists this ribosomal RNA (240 nucleotides) under uncultured bacterium. RNAcentral's name for it is "partial 16S ribosomal RNA". It matches the Rfam family "Bacterial small subunit ribosomal RNA", at positions 94 to 334 of the family's 1533-position model. The record is from RNAcentral.
AGCGGCGGACGGGUGAGUAACGCGUGGGUAACCUGCCUCAUACAGGGGGAUAACAGUUGGAAACGGCUGCUAAUACCGCAUAAGCGCACAGUACCGCAUGGUACCGUGUGAAAAACUCCGGUGGUAUGAGAUGGACCCGCGUCUGAUUAGCUAGUUGGUGGGGUAACGGCCUACCAAGGCGACGAUCAGUAGCCGACCUGAGAGGGUGACCGGCCGCAUUGGGACUGAGACACGGCCCAA